Molecule: ribosomal RNA, 406 nt
Filed under: uncultured bacterium
Lineage: Bacteria
Description: partial 16S ribosomal RNA
Rfam family: Bacterial small subunit ribosomal RNA
Source: RNAcentral
AUUGAACGCUGGCGGCAGGCCUAACACAUGCAAGUCGAACGAGUGGCGGACGGGUGAGUAAUGUCUGGGAAACUGCCUGAUGGAGGGGGAUAACUACUGGAAACGGUAGCUAAUACCGCAUACCAUCGGAUGUGCCCAGAUGGGAUUAGCUAGUAGGUGGGGUAACGGCUAACCUAGGCGACGAUCCCUAGCUGGUCAGAGAGGAUGACCAGCAACACUGGAACGGAGCCACGGUCCAGACUCCUACGGGGGGUAGCAUGGGGGAAUAUUGCACAUUGGGCGCAAUCCUGCUGCAGCCAUGCCGCGUGUAUGAAGAAGGCCUUCGGGUUGUAAAGUACUUUCAGCGGGGAGGCGUUACCCGAAGAAGAAGCACCGGCUAACUCCGUGCCAGCAGCCGCGGUAAUAC